GCCUGGCGUGGUGGUGCAUGCCUGCAAUCCCAGCUACUCAGGAGGCUGAGGCAGGAGAAUUGCUUGAAUCUGAGAGGUGGAGGUUGCAGUGAGCCAAGAUGGCUCCAUUGCACUCCAGCCUGGGCAACAAGAGUGAAACUCCAUCUCAAAAAAAAAAAAAAAUCUCAUUACCAAAUUUUAGCUAGGACAAAUUGCUGCUAUUUCAGAAGUAACGGGUAUCCAACCAGAAAGGGCUUGAUUUAGAAACCAAACCCAGGCUGUCAUGGUGAAAAAAAAUGCAUGGUGAGCUCCCGGGAGCAGGGGAACCACCAGGUUGCCUAAGGAGGGGUGAACUGGCCCAGGUUGGAAACAGAGCAGGUCAAAACUCCUGUCCUGAUCGUAGUGGGAUUGCUCCUGUGAAAAGCCACUGCACUCCAGCCUGGGCUACAUAGCGAGACCCCGUCUCUG
Molecule: unclassified non-coding RNA, 447 nt
Organism: Callithrix jacchus (white-tufted-ear marmoset)
Lineage: Eukaryota; Metazoa; Chordata; Mammalia; Primates; Cebidae
Rfam family: Metazoan signal recognition particle RNA
About the family: The signal recognition particle (SRP) is a universally conserved ribonucleoprotein. It is involved in the co-translational targeting of proteins to membranes.
Source: Ensembl